UGUGCUUGUUGGCAUUUGUUCUGUCAGG
This 28-nucleotide non-coding RNA is filed under the name Mus musculus (house mouse). The record is from RNAcentral. Lineage: Eukaryota; Metazoa; Chordata; Mammalia; Rodentia; Muridae.